Molecule: unclassified non-coding RNA, 3098 nt
Filed under: Hevea brasiliensis (rubber tree)
Lineage: Eukaryota; Viridiplantae; Streptophyta; Magnoliopsida; Malpighiales; Euphorbiaceae
Source: RNAcentral
AUUUUUCUUCGUGCCAAUCGCUCAAGACUGAGAGGGUCCAAGGCAGGACGCUUCUCCCACCAAAUUGCUUAAACUCAUCGGAGCACGCUUCAUCCUUUCCCAACAGCUGGUAGGUAUAAGAAAGAUGGACAUAAUUUCUCAAUUGCAAGAGCAAGUGGAUUUAAUUGCUUCACUUGCUUUUAAUACAAUUGGGACGCUGCAAAGAGAUGCUCCUCCAGUGCGUCUCUCUCCAAAUUACCCUGAACCACCAGCUAACCCUACUGAAGAUUUUGCAGAUCAACCUAAGUUGAUGAGUGCUGCGCUUGUAAAGGCUGCUAAGCAGUUUGAUGCUUUGGUGGCAGCACUUCCAUUAGCCGAGGGAGGUGAAGAAGCUCAACUGAAAAGGAUUGCGGAACUGCAGGCUGAAAAUGAUGCGGUAGGCCAAGAACUCCAAAGGCAACUGGAAGCUGCAGAGAAAGAAUUGAAGCAGGUCCAGGAGCUGUUUAGCCAAGCAACAGAUAAUUGCUUGAACCUGAAGAAGCCAGAUUAAUGAUGGUGCACUGCAUUUCCGAAUGUUGUAGAUGAAAAGGGAAUGAUUGGACCAGAUGGAGGAGUCCAAUUUCAAGCAUCUAAAUUUGUCUAAGCAUUUUUUCCCCUUUCUUACGAGGAUAGCAUCUGCAUGUGCUGUCAUGGGCUUAAGCACUUGUAAUAUUUUCGUGUCUUAAGGUAGCAUAUGCAUGAUAGAAUCAUGUUAGACCACCUAUUGAUUUUGAUUUGUAAAUUCAGGUUAGUUAGUAGACAAGUUCAGAUUAGUUAUCUAUUGCUUUUUGCUCUAUUUUCAUCUUUUUGAUCCCAUUCUUAGGCUUCUGCUCCUAGAUUAAAAUGAACAAAAGUUGUAUAAAAAGUGUACUAACCAUUUAAGGACCCUGAAGCUACCUGUCUAAUAGCAUAGGGCAUAGGCAUUAAAGGAUUGAAGUUUCUGCUACCACUCUGCCUCCCUUGAACCACAAGAAUCGAGGAAAACAAAAAUUGUAUCAGAACUUGCUUGAAUAAUUCCAUGAAAGGUAUCUUUACCUAGCGGUCUGUAUGGACUUGAGUUGAGAGGACUAAAGUUCGUAUCGAGUGAUCAUAGGUUAAUUGAUAGGAGCUGCUCUCUUAGGCAUUCAAUGAACCAGCUACCAUCAGAGCUACUGCUGUGCGUAUUAGUCCUCCCAAAGUUAGUGUUUGUAUUUCUACGAAGUACCAAUCGACUGAUCUCAGGCACUCGAAAACAAUCAAUCGUCUGUUGAUGAGUAAAACCACAAAAUACUUCUGUCUUUUGAAUUUAUAGGCAAAUGCAGAUUAUGUUUCCCUAAUAGACUGGUAAAAAAUUUUCAACAGGGCACAACAAGAAGGAAUGAGCUAGAUUACACAUGGCAUAAUCUGAAGACAAGUUUAUAUCUGGGGAUUUUGACAUCACGGAAAGUUUAAGCCUGCAACAAGGGAUCCUAUGUAAUGCUGCCAAAACGCAUUAUGCUCUGAUGCAUUUGCCAUGAUAAAACUACGACAAUCUCUGUUUUUUCCUCCCUUCCCAGACUUGGAUGAUCCAGCACCUGAAGUGGAUGACACAUGAGUUGUUUGAAACAGUGUUUCUUAAACCGGAGAAAAAAAGCCCAAACAGAAACUAAAUGUGGGGAUGACUGAAUAUCCAGUAACAACAAUUUAUCACAUGAGAUGAAUAAAAUAAAUUACCAACUCCAUAGUAAAUCCUUUAAUUGGAACUGGCAUUUUAUCACAAAUGAAAUGUAAAUAAUUUUGUAAUGAACACUUUUGUUCAGGUCAACUGAAUGUGUUACUUCAAUAAUUUUUUGAAGCCUUAUCGAAUGGAAACUCAACAGCAACAAAGAACCAACUUGUUUGACUAAUUCAUGUCUCUUGUAAGUUAGAGCAACAGAUAUUACCAACUUCAUAUCCGCAUCUGUAUUAUUUGAAUUUUUUUCCUUUUUGAGGAUAAUCAGAGAAGAAAAAUGACAAUGGAAUUUGUGGCAACUUUUUUUUUCUUUUUACCAUAUGAGAGCAAUGAAAAUUCUUUUGGAAGGAACAAUAUAAAAACUAGAAAGUGAGCAAACCACUGCAGCCAGGAUAUUACCAAAGUUGCUGAGACACAUUCUCAACCAUAAGCAAUUCCAAAACUAGUAAUUCAAAAAGAGAAUUAUAUCAUGUUUAACAAUGUUGGUUUCAACUCCAGGAAAAGGACAGCAAAAACCAACAGAGAUUGGCUUGAAAAUGAUGAUAAUAAUAAACGAUGAGGACAAUCACUCACAUCAGUAUAUAUCAAACUAAACCUCCAAAUAAUGAUGUACCCAACCCUUCUUGGGCACAUCGACUGCAAUAGUCCCAAAUACUAAUUCAGACAAAACAUAAACAAGAAUUGACACCAUGGCACUCAACUGAGGACAAACUCACUUCAUUUGAGGAUAUGACUUCAUAGUGGCUACCUUUAUCACAAUAGAUAAAAACAAUGAUAUGAAACUAUACUCACUAGUAGGAAUAGAUGGAUUGUAAAAAGUCCCAUCUUCCUUCUUCAGCAGUACCCUCACCCUCCCUAUUUGCAUGAAAUCGCGAGGAUAGGCCUUGUCAAUCUCAAUAGCAAAAGGGAGUUUGAGAUGGCUGCAGCAAUCACCAAUUUCAGCACAAGUUGGAUUUUCACAAGCUUUAGUCACACUGAUUCGCCUGCCCUCAGCUAUGGUCUUCUUUGAGUUUAUGUAAACAGGAUACAACACAACCCAUUUCUUUAUAUUGGGCAUAUUUCCAUCCAUCAUCUCUGCCAUUGAAUUCCAAUUAUACGCUAAUUGAAAUAUUUGCCCUAAGCUCAAAUUAGGAUCCGAGACGGACAGCAACCAAGUGAUGUAAGAGAAACACGGUGAUUGGCUCUGGUAUUUCGUGUCUUUCUGCCACCUCCCUUUUGGAAUGGUGAUUUUUAGGGUUUCACUGGAUCUUCUUCAGAGGCUCCAGAAUAGAAGAGGUUUCGAGGAGGAAUUUCGACGGCAAGAGAGAAUCAAGGUACUGGAGGGGGGAGAGGGAGAGAGACAGGGGGCUGCUCCUGCAAACAAAUGGAAAAAUCAACAAGACGACUCCAG